ACAAUUAUUGUAGCGUGAUUUUCAUAAUCAUAAUGGAAAAUAUGAUUCUCCCUCUUUAUUAUACGUUUAAUUGGGCCUGGUGACGAGUGGGCUUAUAGUGGGAUUGUUUAAAUUUACGAAACCGUGUAAAAAGGAAGGAAGCGUCUAGAAAAGAGAUGGAACCCUAAUCUAGGCAGGAAGAUGAUGAAUUUGGGGUUGAAGAUGAUGAGGAACCUUGGAUCUGGGUGUGCGAAGUUUGGACGCAGUGAGAGAUGGUAUUGUGUUUCGAGACGUGAAAAGAUAUCCUUCUCCACACCUCCAGAGGUUACCUUCUCGACGCCUCCUUCUGUAGUUAGUCUCCUGUUUACAUCCUUCUUCGGGUAUCUAUGCUACCAAACAAAAGCUGCUUCAGAACAGGAACGUCUCUGGGAUGUUCUGUCUGAAAAGAGAAACCAGAUUAGGAUCCUGUCGCGACAAGACGAGUCAAAGCGUAAGAAAGUAAAAGAGGCAGAAAUAAAGCUUAUUGAAAAGGCAGCAACCGUGCUUAGUGAAGAAAUCCAAGUCUAAUGUCUGAAGUCUCUAUGUAUUCAAUAUCUCUCUCUAUGUUAUAUAAGUUGUUAUGCAGUUUGUGUUUCACUGUCUUCUAAAACUGAUAUGUAAUAAGUUUGCUACUUAAAAGAGAGGCAUAAUUUAUAUAUAUGCUAGUGAAGGAAUUUGAUGUUUUUUUGGAUUCUAUGAAGUUGUUUGAAACAAGUCUCUGAUUUAACAUUCAUAAAUUGAAGUCGGGUUAAUAUGA
Molecule: RNA transcript, 775 nt
Organism: Brassica rapa (field mustard)
Lineage: Eukaryota; Viridiplantae; Streptophyta; Magnoliopsida; Brassicales; Brassicaceae
Source: RefSeq, a predicted model, not a curated record